AAUUUUCAGCGACGGAUAUCUUGGCUCGAGCACCUAUGAAGGGCGCAGCGAAGUGCGAUAAUCGUUGUGAUUUGCAGAACUCCGUGAACCAAUGGCCUCUUGAACGUGCAUUGCGCUCUUGGGAUAUGCCUGAGAGCAUGUCUGCUUCAGUG
This 152-nucleotide ribosomal RNA is filed under the name uncultured Symbiodinium. Its description in RNAcentral is "5.8S ribosomal RNA". It matches the Rfam family "5.8S ribosomal RNA". From Rfam's summary of the family: 5.8S ribosomal RNA (5.8S rRNA) is a component of the large subunit of the eukaryotic ribosome. Lineage: Eukaryota; Dinophyceae; Suessiales; Symbiodiniaceae. The record is from RNAcentral.